GUAGGGAAUCUUCGGCAAUGGACGAAAGUCUGACCGAGCAACGCCGCGUGAGUGAAGAAGGUUUUAGGAUCGUAAAACUCUGUUGUUAGAGAAGAACAAGGGUGAGAGUAACUGUUCACCCCUUGACGGUAUCUAACCAGAAAGCCACGGCUAACUACGUGCCAG
This 165-nucleotide ribosomal RNA is filed under the name uncultured bacterium. RNAcentral's name for it is "partial 16S ribosomal RNA". It matches the Rfam family "Bacterial small subunit ribosomal RNA", at positions 354 to 511 of the family's 1533-position model. The record is from RNAcentral.